CAUGGAGUGGGGGAGCCUCUCAGCCUGGAUUAUGAGAGGACACAGGCCAGGCCAAGGGACCCCACUGAUGUACA
RNAcentral lists this microRNA precursor (74 nucleotides) under Myotis davidii. RNAcentral describes it as "mir-9193 microRNA precursor family". It matches the Rfam family "mir-9193 microRNA precursor family". The record is from Rfam by way of RNAcentral. Lineage: Eukaryota; Metazoa; Chordata; Mammalia; Chiroptera; Vespertilionidae.